CCUACGGGAGGCUGCAGUGAGGAAUAUUGGUCAAUGGACGAGAGUCUGAACCAGCCAAGUAGCGUGAAGGAUGACUGUCCUAUGGGUUGUAAACUUCUUUUAUAUGGGAAUAAAAUGUUCCACGUGUGGGAUUUUGUAUGUACCAUAUGAAUAAGGAUCGGCUAACUCCGUGCCAGCAGCCGCGGUAAUACGGAGGAUCCGAGCGUUAUCCGGAUUUAUUGGGUUUAAAGGGAGCGUAGGUGGAUUGUUAAGUCAGUUGUGAAAGUUUGCGGCUCAACCGUAAAAUUGCAGUUGAAACUGGCAGUCUUGAGUACAGUAGAGGUGGGCGGAAUUCGUGGUGUAGCGGUGAAAUGCUUAGAUAUCACGAAGAACUCCGAUUGCGAAGGCAGUUCACUGGACUGCAACUGACACUGAGGCUCGAAAGUGUGGGUAUCAAACAGGAUUAGAUACCCUUGUAGUC
Molecule: ribosomal RNA, 460 nt
Filed under: uncultured bacterium
Lineage: Bacteria
Description: partial 16S ribosomal RNA
Rfam family: Bacterial small subunit ribosomal RNA
Source: RNAcentral